This is a long non-coding RNA of Brienomyrus brachyistius, 579 nucleotides long. RefSeq lists it as uncharacterized. The transcript has 2 exons. The record is from RefSeq and is a predicted model, not a curated record. NCBI's taxonomy places the organism in Eukaryota, Metazoa, Chordata, Actinopteri, Osteoglossiformes, Mormyridae.
UCCAGACAAACGAUCGCGGCAAAGUCGUGGUGCGCAUGCAGAAUACCACUCUUUUAUCUCACAGCUGCUAAGGAAAACUGGAGGAUCCAACGAGAUUUUAAAUGAAUUUAUGAAGAGCACUGCUGGGAUCUUAAUUUUUGAGUGAUUUUGGCAAAUUUUUCAAAUAUUCCCAUUCUUCAGAACAUUUGUAGCAUUCUGUGCAUGAGCUAUGAGCGUGGAAGCAGCUCUGGGGGCGAGGAAUCCAAACAGACGGGCUUAUUAUGGGGAAACGAGGGCAAUGCAGGACAGAUGGUAACGAACAUCAGUGACAGAUCUGGGGAAACAGACUUGACCGCGGACUAAAUACACACUGAAGGCAGGAAACGCGGAACAGCAGGUGACAAUGAGAGUUUCACACAAGGUCGCCGGUAUUGCAUUGUCCUCUGGAAUACAGUGUGCCGAGCAUGGGGAGCCCACAGGACCCAGCGCCUGCCAAGCCGACAGCUGCUGAAUACACUUUCAGGGAUUUUAAGGCCCUGGGAUAGAAGUGCAUAUCGUACAGCAACAAAAAAAUUUAAUAUUAAACAUAACAUGCAUCUC